RNAcentral lists this ribosomal RNA (182 nucleotides) under uncultured bacterium. RNAcentral's name for it is "partial 16S ribosomal RNA". It matches the Rfam family "Bacterial small subunit ribosomal RNA", at positions 1319 to 1500 of the family's 1533-position model. The record is from RNAcentral.
CAUGAAGCCGGAAUCGCUAGUAAUCGCGGAUCAGAAUGCCGCGGUGAAUACGUUCCCGGGUCUUGUACACACCGCCCGUCACACCAUGGGAGUCGGGAAUGCCCGAAGUCAGUGGCCCAACCGGAAGGGGGGAGCUGCCGAAGGCAGGCCCGGUGACUGGGGUGAAGUCGUAACAAGGUACC